GACGAACGCUGGCGGCGUGCUUAACACAUGCAAGUCGAACGGAAAGGCCCUGCUUGCAGGGUACUCGAGUGGCGAACGGGUGAGUAACACGUGGGUGAUCUGCCCUGCACUUCGGGAUAAGCUUGGGAAACUGGGUCUAAUACCGGAUAGGAACCAUCUUUAGUGUGGUGGUUGGAAAGUUUUUUCGGUGUAGGAUGAGCUCGCGGCCUAUCAGCUUGUUGGUGGGGUAAUGGCCUACCAAGGCGGCGACGGGUAGCCGGCCUGAGAGGGUGUACGGCCACAUUGGGACUGAGAUACGGCCCAGAAUCCUACGGGAGGCAGCAGUGGGGAAUAUUGCACAAUGGGCGCAAGCCUGAUGCAGCGACGCCGCGUGGGGGAUGAAGGCCUUCGGGUUGUAAACUCCUUUCGCUAGGGACGAAGCUUUGUUGUGACGGUACCUAGAUAAGAAGCACCGGCUAACUACGUG
RNAcentral lists this ribosomal RNA (466 nucleotides) under uncultured bacterium. RNAcentral's name for it is "partial 16S ribosomal RNA". It matches the Rfam family "Bacterial small subunit ribosomal RNA", at positions 28 to 507 of the family's 1533-position model. The record is from RNAcentral.